CAGCCGCCGCGGGAAAACGAAGGGGGCUAGCGUUGUUCGGAAUUACUGGGCGUAAAGCGCACGCAGGCGGCUCGAUAAAUUAGAAGUGAAAGCCUUGGGCUUAACCUGAGAAUUGCUUUUAAGACUGUCGGGCUAGAAUCCAGAAGAGGGUAGUGGAAUUCCGAGUGUAGAGGUGAAAUUCGUAGAUAUUCGGAAGAACACCAGUGGCGAAGGCGACUACCUGGUCUGGCAUUGACGCUCAUGUGCGAAAGCGUGGGGAGCAAACAGGAUUAGAUACCCCCGUAGUCCCUGUCUCUUAUAC
RNAcentral lists this ribosomal RNA (301 nucleotides) under uncultured bacterium. RNAcentral describes it as "partial 16S ribosomal RNA". It matches the Rfam family "Bacterial small subunit ribosomal RNA", at positions 509 to 807 of the family's 1533-position model. The record is from RNAcentral.